This is a non-coding RNA of Bactrocera oleae (olive fruit fly), 5434 nucleotides long. The record is from RefSeq and is a predicted model, not a curated record. NCBI's taxonomy places the organism in Eukaryota, Metazoa, Arthropoda, Insecta, Diptera, Tephritidae.
UUAAACUCGUUAUACUUGAACUUCUUAAAACCGUCUAAAAGAUGGAUUUCUGGAGGUCUGUAAGAUCAUUUGACUUAAAUUUCUGCUGGCAAGCGACUAAACCGGUGAGUUUGUAAGCAAAAGAAAAACUCGCAGGGAGUCAUACCUCGAAAAUACGGUGUACAGGGCAGCAGUUUUUAGCCUUAUUCGACCAAUUUGGAGUGCCGACGUUGGAGGUAUGAGCUAGUGCCGCGUAAUGGCGGAAGUGCCUUUCCUUUGUCAAAUGGCACCUUAAUAAUUCGGCAUAGUAAAGUGCUGAGACCAAUUUUCUCUUGUAUAGAUAGUUGAGAUGGAUCACAUCUUGUUAAUCUCAACACGUUUCUGGCCGAUAGCACAGUUUACGUCUCUUUAGGAGUAGAUUCGCAGAGUGAAAAUCACAGAUGCUUGGUUUCUGAUGUGCAGUAGUGGAUCCAUGUUCCUCAUGGAAUGAGGGAUAAACUCAUAUAAAAACGAAAUUAAACUCGAAAUAAAACUCGAAAUUUUUGAAGUCUAAGUCGGUUUGAGUGAUGUGAAAGAGUAGAGAAUAAAAAAACUUUUUGGAAAGUGGGUUUCAGUCAGUUACAUACUUCGAUUUCAACAGAUUUCGAUCUCUCAACCAACAUGUAGGCGCUACAUUGUAGGGUAUUAAGUAACCCAUAUUCGUCUUUAGUAUGUAACCAAAUUUGUCGAUCGCGUGCCAAAAGUUGUUAACCCAAAAUCGUGGACUGUGGAAGAGCGCGAGAGCGCCGUACAUGCUUCGAGAGCACUCAUGAUGCAAUGAUGAAACACUCAUUGCAUGCUAUCGAACGCAAGCGCCACAAUGUUAAUGUGACUUUGUUGUUAAUGCAAGCCAAAAGCAGCAACAGUCACCAGGCAGCCAGUAGUCGCGCCUGAAUACUCGGCCGUGCAGCGUGCGUUUGGGGAACAGCGGAAAAGUGAACGUAGCGAACGAGCGUGUUGUGAGGUGUUUGCCUUAGUUGUUUGUUGUCACAAAAACAAAACAAGAAGAAAUAUAGCAAACAAUUCAGGAAAAGCACAAAGGCAGCCAAUACAAUUUCCGACUCAGCAUGUAAAUCAGCAUAUAUAAAUCGAAAUUGGUUUUAGCAAAGCAUCGUAUGCUUAUAUCUAAAUUUUCAUCAAUGUUCAGAGAGUUCAAAUGUCGAGCACAAAGCUGCCAAACAUAAACUGUAGACUCCAAGCUUCUUAAUUAAAAGUACAAUAACCAACAAUGGGCAAUUCUUGUAAAAAAUCACAAAAAAUACCAGACGAUGUUGAUGAUGGCCUUGAAACAUUGGAGGAAUAUCGGAGCCGUUGGCGUUCUGUGCGCGUCAUUUAUUUCACAAUGUUCCUGAUGUCACUUGGUUUCAGUAUAAUACUUACUGGCAUAUGGCCGUACUUAAAUAAGCUAGAUCCAAAGGCGGGAAAAGAGUUCAUGGGUCUCAUUGUUGCUGCAAAUCCGUUGGGUCAGAUGAUUUUCAGUCCGCUCUUCGGUUGGUGGAGCAAUAAAAUUGGCACCAUUCGUUUACCCUUACUAUGCUCGUUAGCGUUAUUCACAUUCGCAAGUGGGCUUUAUUCAUCACUAGAAAUGCGUCCUGAUCAUGUCAAAUACUGGAUGUUGAUCUCACGUUUUUUAAUUGGCGUCAGUUCGGCAAAUAUUGCUGUUUGUCGUUCGUAUUUAUCGGCGGCGACACGUUUGAGCGAACGCACAAAAGCCGUUUCGAUGGUGUCGCUGGCACAGGUAUUGGGUUUCAUUGUGGGACCCGGUCUACAGACGGCUGUAACACCAUUGGGCAAUGAUGGCUAUAGUUUUCUUUGGGGUUUCAUUGUUUUCAACAUGUAUACAGCUUGUGGUUGGAUAAAUGUACUUAUGAGCAUUGGUAACUUUAUAAUGUUUCUGCCGGGACUUUUUGAGGAACAUAAGAUAGCUGCGCGCGAAAUAAUGAUAAAACAGGGUAAAAGUUCGGAACGUGAAACGUGGAAGGCCAUCAAACCGGACUACGUGUCAGCGUGGACCUUGAUUAUGGCAUUUUUCGUGUUGGUCUUCAACUUUGUGCUGCUCGAAACACUCGGCACCUCUCUAACCAUGGAUCAGUUUGCAUGGAGCAAUCAUGAAGCACUCUACUACAUGGGCAUAUUGAUGUCAGUGGGUGCCAUUGUGGCGCUCGCCACAUUCGUUGCCAUCAAUCCGCUUUGUAAAGUUUUUCCCGAACACUAUGUGCUCAUAUGGGGUGGCUUUUCCUUAAUGGUACUCGGGCGUGUGCUGUAUAUACCUUGGGGCGAUGGACCACCUGUUAUUGCUGAAGUUUACAAUGACACAAUACCGCUGACGGGCAAUGCUACAAUAGAUCUCGAACCGAAUGAUAUAGUAUUUCUUGGGUGUCCUAAAACACAGCCAUGGUGUGAGCUAACACCAGCGCUGACCUUAACACAAUUUAUCAUCGGCUAUGCAUUCACCUCGAUCGGUUAUCCGAUCGGUGUCACUUUGAUACAAACGAUCUUCUCAAAGGUAUUGGGACCACGACCGCAAGGUGUUUGGAUGGGUCUGAUGACCGGUGCCGGAUGUUUGUCGCGCGUAUUGGGACCGGUUUUUGUUGGUGUGAUCUAUACACGUUAUGGUACGUACUGGACGUUCGGCAUAACGUCGGUGAUGAUGUUCGUAGCGAUGAUAUGGUUGCUAUUAUCGAAAAAACGUCUGAUACCACCGAGUUUCGACAAUUCUAUGGGUGCCGAAAUGCAAACACUGAGUACAAAUAAAGUGCCACUACAAUCAGAGGAAGCCGAGUACAAAAUAGUGCCACAAAUUAAUGACGUAGUGCCGGCGUUGAUAGAGAAUGAAGAUGAACUGGAUACUGCUCUAAAUACAGCGCUGUAUUCGAAAAGAAAUAGUAUAACUAUAGUUGUAGGGGAAAAGUGAUGUUUUUAUACAGUUAUAAGUAUAAAAUGUACCGCGGAAGCUACCUUUUUAAUAGCUACGACUUUUAGGUACACUUAGUUUCGAUAGGGAAGAAAAAAUUGUUUGUUGUAUAUUAACCCAGGUUCGAAAAAAAGUAUAAGCUACAAGUUUGUAAAAACAUAUGAAAAAACACUUCUAACCUUCUUUAAAAUGUUUUUUUUGUGAAUAUAGAGUUAUAUAUUUCUAAAAAUAAAUUAUGUAUAUGAUAGUAUUAAAAUUAAUUAAGUUUUAAAUUAUAGUUUUUUUACAGUUGACAAGUGUAUUGCCAUUGUUUACUUAAGAAGAAUCCAUAAUUUUAUAUAUUUAUAUAUGUUUACAAAUAUAUGUAUAUGUAUUAAAUUUGAAUAUUUUUAUAAACACAUAUUUAACUAAAGUUAUGAAACAUUAAGCAAUAAUAGUAUAUUUUUGAAAUAUUUUUCAAGGUCAAUAUUAAAAAAUAAAUUUUUGAGAAUUAUAAACGUUGAUUGAGCAUAUCGUUAAGGUUCCAAAAGAACGAGAGCGAAAUUUGCUAUAUUUACUCAUUAAUGAAUAAACGGCUCGACGAGACAUUUGUUUCUUAACGGUUUCUAAAUUAAACCUGAAACGUUUAGAUCUUAUACCUUUAAUAGAACUAAUUGUAAUCUAAAUAAAUCGCCUAAGCAGAUUUGUAAUAGGUCCAAUCCAAAUAUGAGGUUAGGUUCGCUUAGGUUACGUGGUCAAUCUUAAUAGGAAUUUGAUUUGAACAGUUUAGAACGCUGCUUUUUUGUGGUACUUAUAUAAUAUGUAGAUCAUUAGACUCUUACAAAUCAACAUCAACGGCUAAUGUCAGUUUCGGCUAUGUCUUCUGGUUCACCGAAGUUAAGACUACCAAAAUGUUUCUAUCUCAGUCUUGCAAAGGCUGGACAAUGAACAAUGUUUCCGCCUCACUCGCCACCAUAUAACUUACGUACGCAAUGAAUUUAAACCUUACCGCAAGAAUGCCUAUAUGGACAAUGUACAGUAAGAGUUCAAAUAUGAGAUAGGCCAAAGAAUUUAACUUGCAACUGUUGUUUUUGCCAUGUGUUUGUAGUCCGCUAAUAAACAAAGCUGCUUGCAAUCAAGAACAUGAUAAAUAUUAUAUAAUAUUUUACUUUUAAAACAAGCAAAGAUUCGUUUGAAAAUAAUAUUUUUACAAAUUCGUGUUCGCGCUAAUAUUUCUACUUGUAUUCACUUCAGUAUCAGCUAUUGUUAUCGGCUUGCAUUGUGAAUGAUUUGAUCUCAUAUAAAUAACUCUCUUAAUAAACAAAACGUUCAAGACUCAAUACACUUUAAGAGAGCCAUUUGUAUGCAACUGUUUUCUUGACUGCUAUGUAUACUUUUCUGACUAGCUUUUACAAAACUGAAAGCAACGUACUGACCCAACUUGUUUUACUGAUGGGUUCUUCAGAGACCGGUUAGUGAUUUCACUAAAAAAAGCUUAUAGAACUACUUAAUACUGAUUGCUACGCUAUCAUUAUCGAUAUAAAUAGUAACGAGAUAUUUGUUAGCUUUUCAGUCUUUCACUAGCCUUCAGUAAAGCAAGUCGUUGUUGUUCUUUUCGAAACUAAGUGUUAAUAUAAUGGAACGUUGGCAAAAUCGUGUUGCAGCCGUUACCGGCGCUAGCUCCGGCAUAGGUGCUGCUACCGUUAAGGAUCUGCUGAAAGCUAAUUUAAUUGUUGUCGGUCUGGCGCGUCGCUUGGAGCGCAUGGAAGAACUGAAGGCACAAUUACCAGCUGAACAACAAAAACGCUUCCAUGCCGUCGCUUGCGAUGUUUCAUCACAAGAAUCCGUUGAUGCGGCAUUCGAUUGGAUCAUCAAGGAGUUGGGUGGCGUCGAUAUUCUUAUCAAUAACGCGGGUAUCUUUAAAGCUGGCCACGUUAGCAUUAUGAAUCCGGUGGAAAUGCAACAAGUCAUACAAACCAACGUUAUGGGCGUGGUAUAUUGCACACAACGUGCCUUUAAAUCGAUGAAAGAACGUAAUUUUGAUGGUCAUGUAGUUGUGGUUAAUAGUGUCUUGGGUCAUAGUAUACCUUUCACAGUUGGUGACAAUAAACCACCGAUAAUGAAUGUUUAUGCGCCCUCUAAGUUUGCGCUAACUGCCCUUACGGAGAUACUGCGUCAGGAAUUUAAAGGACUAAGCACCAAGAUUAAGAUUACUAGCGUUAGUCCCGGUUUAACCGAUACGGAAAUUGUGCCAGAACAAUAUAAGAGCGCUAAGAUUCCAUCUCUAAAAUCGGAGGAUGUUUCGAGCUGUAUUUUGUUUACACUCUCUACACCACCACAUAUGCAGGUGCACGAGAUCACUGUGAAGCCGGCUUUGGGCGAAUAAAUCCAUAAAAAAUAUAUAUGUUUAUAUAUAUUUCGUUAAGUAGCUCCAUCAAAUGUUUAUGAAGGUCUAAUAUAUAUAAUAAUAAUACUUAAAUUGUAAAUUAUCUAAUUAAUUGCAAUAAAAUUAAUUUUAUUUGA